This 188-nucleotide unclassified non-coding RNA is filed under the name uncultured Cladophialophora. Its description in RNAcentral is "sequence contains ITS1". Lineage: Eukaryota; Fungi; Ascomycota; Eurotiomycetes; Chaetothyriales; Herpotrichiellaceae. The record is from RNAcentral.
UCGAGUUAGGGCCUUCUCAGGCCCGACCUCCCACCCUGUGUUUACUGAACCUAUGUUGCUUCGGCGGGCCCGUCUCACGACCGCCGGAGGACCGUAAGACGUCCUCUGGCCCGCGCCCGUCGGUGGCCAAACUUGACAAACUCUGAUUGAAUCGUGUCACUGUCUGAGUACCAUUCUUAAUUAAAACA